This is a non-coding RNA of Gasterosteus aculeatus aculeatus (three-spined stickleback), 561 nucleotides long. The record is from RefSeq and is a predicted model, not a curated record. NCBI's taxonomy places the organism in Eukaryota, Metazoa, Chordata, Actinopteri, Perciformes, Gasterosteidae.
CCGUUAGUUUACAUUUGAGCUUUUAGCUCGGUGGCAAAUCGCCGGAAAAAAACGGAAAUCUCACAAAUGAUCGGUUUCGAGCAAUGCGAGCUUUCGCAACCGGAAAAUUAAGGUGGACGUGAUGAGCGAUGUGGAGGAAUGAGAUGCUGCGGGACUCGAUGCUGUUUACACGCACGCACGGGGACUAUUUUCUCUCCAGACUACUGAAAUGAGAUACACAACGUUUGGUGGCUACUGCUAUUUUGUGCUGAAAGGAAGCUUUUUACUUACUAUUUAUAACUUCGCUGGUAACCGUAUUAUAAAAGCAACACGGUACUUGAGGCAGUUCUUUAUCUUUAUCGAGGGCCGAACAACGCCCCGAACUGUUGUUGGAUGAUAAAGUGCAGCCUCUCAUUGCUUUAAUAAACUAAAGGUUUCAUAUCUGCCAUCUCCCAUGUGGUCUUUAGGAUCCGCCGCCACUGAGGAUGACCUCCGUGUGUGUGUGUAUAGGAGCUCGACGUUUUGACCGCUGUGUAUUUGACCUCCUGCUUGCAAGCAAUAAAUUGACGUUUGCAACAUUGA